Molecule: ribosomal RNA, 253 nt
Filed under: uncultured bacterium
Lineage: Bacteria
Description: partial 16S ribosomal RNA
Rfam family: Bacterial small subunit ribosomal RNA
Source: RNAcentral
GACGAAGGGGGCUAGCGUUGUUCGGAAUUACUGGGCGUAAAGCGCGUGUAGGCGGUUGCCCAAGCCGGGUGUGAAAGCCUUGAGCUCAACUCAAGAAAUGCACUCGGUACUGGGUGACUAGAGGACCGGAGAGGAUAGUGGAAUUCCCAGUGUAGUGGUGAAAUACGUAGAGAUUGGGAAGAACACCAGUGGCGAAGGCGGCUAUCUGGACGGUUUCUGACGCUAAGACGCGAAAGCGUGGGGAGCAAACAGG